This 967-nucleotide long non-coding RNA is filed under the name Junco hyemalis (dark-eyed junco). RNAcentral's name for it is "lncRNA (ENSJHYG00000014842.1)". Lineage: Eukaryota; Metazoa; Chordata; Aves; Passeriformes; Passerellidae. The record is from RNAcentral.
AUGGGAUUUUUCAAGUCAGAAACAGAUCUGUGGGUUCGGAGGGCUGACCUACAACAUGCACCAUGGCUUUCUUUGCGGUCAAAUUCUGCAGUAACCUGUAAAACUUGUUUGCAGGUUGGAAGUGGCCACCUGACACUGUGGAGCGCUGGCACCGAUGAAAUCUUUCAACAUGGAAGCUCUUCAUCACCAAGGCAUCUGAUGACUGGAUCACAGCAAAGCAUCUGAGAAGUCAUUUGUGUUGGUUCCUUGGAUGAGCUUUCAUGAGCAUAUUGAAAUGAAAACAAAGCCACAGAAAGAACAGAAAAAGUCUUGAACUUCAUUCUCUUCAUUGUUUCUCCAUAGCCUAGCAAUUAUUCACGAGAUAAUGACUGAAUAUUAAUAUACAUGGCAAAACAUGUUUCCAUUAAUAUUUGUGAAUGAGCUACAAUUAUGAAACUGGUUUGCUGUGUCUGAUUUUUUGCCAAACCUCUUCCAGGCGGACUAUUUUUGUCAUGGGAAUUGGCCAUAAACAUUUUACGCUUAAGCAUAAAUUUAAGAUAAUUCAUUCUGGCUUUAUAUCAGUAUAUCUCAUUUUAGCUCGUGGCAUUUUCCUUAUUUAAAACAGUACAAAUCUCAGCAGCAUCUGACUUAGUAAAGUGAACCAUGGAAAGUGAGAGUCAUACUUUUUUAACAAAAAAACUGUCUGCCUAUGUCAGUACUAUUGAAAAAUGUUUGUGUCAUAAUAGUGCAUAAAUAAUAAUUAAAUCUUAGUCUGCUGCAAGGGAUUUCAAUCAUUAUUUCUGUAGCUUUUUUUCCCCAUUUUUCUCACACAAUUUGUAUAAUUUUUUUAUACUGAGCAACUUUUAAAAGAGUAAAUGUAUUUGCAUAUAUAAGUCAAAUUUAGAAAUGAGAAACAUGAGAAAGCUUUUUCAUGGAAACAGCAUCAGGAAAUUGUGGAGAAAUAAAUAUUAUAUCUCAUCUCUGACCA